UCGAGAGGCAUCGGCAAUGGGGGAAACCCUGACCGUGCGACGCCGCGUGAGGGAUGAAGCUCUUCGGGGUGUAAACCUCUUUUCCGGGGGAAGAACCCUGUACGGUCGAAUAAGCCGUACAGCUGACGGUACCCCGGGAAUAAGCUCCGGCUAACUACGUGCCAGCAGCCGCGGUAAAACGUAGGAGGCGAGCGUUAUCCGGAAUUACUGGGCGUAAAGCGCGCGUAGGCGGUGGUUUAAGUGGUGCGUGAAAGCUCCUGGCUCAACUGGGAGAGGACGUACCAAACUGAAUGACUAGAGAUGGACAGAGGCAAGUAGAAUUCCGGGUGGAGUGGUGAAAUGCGUAGAGAUCCGGAGGAAUACCAGUGGCGAAGGCGACUUGCUGGGUCAUAUCUGACGCUGAGGUGCGAAAGCGUGGGGAGCGA
RNAcentral lists this ribosomal RNA (425 nucleotides) under uncultured bacterium. RNAcentral describes it as "bacterial SSU rRNA". It matches the Rfam family "Bacterial small subunit ribosomal RNA", at positions 355 to 771 of the family's 1533-position model. The record is from RNAcentral.